UACGAGGGGUGCAAGCGUUGCUCGGAAUUCUUGGGCGUAAAGGGCAGGUAGGUGGUCUCGUUUGUCUCAUGUGAAAGCCUUGGGCUUAACCCGAGAAGUGCGUAAGAAACGGCGAGACUUGAGUAUCGGAGAGGUGAGUGGAAUUCCCGGUGUAGCGGUGAAAUGCGUAGAGAUUGGGAAGAACAUCCGUGGCGAAAGCGCUCUGCUGGACUGCAACUGACAUUGAGGGACGAAAGCUAGGGAAGCGAAUGGG
RNAcentral lists this ribosomal RNA (253 nucleotides) under uncultured bacterium. RNAcentral's name for it is "partial 16S ribosomal RNA". It matches the Rfam family "Bacterial small subunit ribosomal RNA", at positions 524 to 776 of the family's 1533-position model. The record is from RNAcentral.